Molecule: ribosomal RNA, 298 nt
Filed under: uncultured cyanobacterium
Lineage: Bacteria; Bacillati; Cyanobacteriota
Description: partial 16S ribosomal RNA
Rfam family: Bacterial small subunit ribosomal RNA
Source: RNAcentral
GAUGAACGCUGGCGGUAUGCUUUACACAUGCAAGUCGUACGAGAGUUUUUAACUCAAGUGGCGGACGGGUGAGUAACACGUAAGAAUUUGCCUUUAGGAGGGGGACAACAACUGGAAACGGUUGCUAAUACCCCAUAUGCUUUCGAGUGAAACGGAUUUUUCCGCCUAAAGAGAAGCUUGCGGCUGAUUAGCUUGUUGGUAAGGUAAUGGCUUACCAAGGCGACGAUCAGUAUCUGGUUUGAGAGGACGAUCAGACACACUGGAACUGAGACACGGUCCAGACUCCUACGGGUGGCUG